UGGGGAAUUUUGGACAAUGGGGGAAACCCUGAUCCAGCCAUCCCGCGUGUGCGAUGAAGGCCUUCGGGUUGUAAAGCACUUUUGGCAGGAAAGAAACGUCGCGGGUUAAUACCCCGCGAAACUGACGGUACCUGCAGAAUAAGCACCGGCUAACUACGUGCCAGCAGCCGCGGUAAUACGUAGGGUGCAAGCGUUAAUCGGAAUUACUGGGCGUAAAGCGUGCGCAGGCGGUUCGGAAAGAAAGAUGUGAAAUCCCAGAGCUUAACUUUGGAACUGCAUUUUUAACUACCGGGCUAGAGUGUGUCAGAGGGAGGUGGAAUUCCGCGUGUAGCAGUGAAAUGCGUAGAUAUGCGGAGGAACACCGAUGGCGAAGGCGAGGCCUCCUGGGAUAACACUGACGCUCAUGCACGAAAGCGU
This 417-nucleotide ribosomal RNA is filed under the name uncultured bacterium. Its description in RNAcentral is "partial 16S ribosomal RNA". It matches the Rfam family "Bacterial small subunit ribosomal RNA", at positions 355 to 762 of the family's 1533-position model. The record is from RNAcentral.